GACGAACGCUGGCGGCGUGCUUAACACAUGCAAGUCGAACGGUAAGGCCCCAGCUUGCUGGGGUACACGAGUGGCGAACGGGUGAGUAACACGUGGGUGACCUGCCCCGCACUUCGGGAUAAGCCUGGGAAACUGGGUCUAAUACCGGAUAGGACCGCACCGUGAGGGUGUGGUGGAAAGUUUUUCGGUGUGGGAUGGGCCCGCGGCCUAUCAGCUUGUUGGUGGGGUAAUGGCCUACCAAGGCGGCGACGGGUAGCCGGCCUGAGAGGGUGGACGGCCACAUUGGGACUGAGACACGGCCCAGACUCCUACGGGAGGCAGCAGUGGGGAAUAUUGCACAAUGGGCAGAAGCCUGAUGCAGCGACGCCGCGUGGGGGAUGACGGCCUUCGGGUUGUAAACUCCUUUCACCAUCGACGAAGGUUUUCUGACGGUAGAUGGAGAAGAAGCACCGGCUAACUACGUG
This 464-nucleotide ribosomal RNA is filed under the name uncultured bacterium. Its description in RNAcentral is "partial 16S ribosomal RNA". It matches the Rfam family "Bacterial small subunit ribosomal RNA", at positions 28 to 507 of the family's 1533-position model. The record is from RNAcentral.